CAGCCGCCACGGUAAUACGGAGGGAGCUAGCGUUAUUCGGAAUUACUGGGCGUAAAGCGCACGUAGGCGGCUUUGUAAGUUAGAGGUGAAAGCCUGGAGCUCAACUCCAGAAUUGCCUUUAAGACUGCAUCGCUUGAAUCCAGGAGAGGUGAGUGGAAUUCCGAGUGUAGACGUGAAAUUCGUAGAUAUUCGGAAGAACACCAGUGGCGAAGGCGGCUCACUGGACUGGUAUUGACGCCGAGGCACGAAAGCGUGGGGAGCAAACAGGAUUAGAUACCCCAGUAGUCCCUGUCUCUUAUAC
RNAcentral lists this ribosomal RNA (301 nucleotides) under uncultured bacterium. RNAcentral describes it as "partial 16S ribosomal RNA". It matches the Rfam family "Bacterial small subunit ribosomal RNA", at positions 509 to 807 of the family's 1533-position model. The record is from RNAcentral.